AAGAGACGUUGCCCUUCGGGGUAUACCUCCCACCCUUUGUUUAUUAUACCUUUGUUGCUUUGGCGGGCCCGUCCUCGGACCACCGGCUUCUGCUGGUCAGUGCCCGCCAGAGGACCUGAAACUCUGUUUGUUAAUAUUGUCUGAGUACUAUAUAAUAGUUA
RNAcentral lists this unclassified non-coding RNA (161 nucleotides) under soil metagenome. RNAcentral describes it as "partial internal transcribed spacer 1". The record is from RNAcentral.